GUGCUCCUUGCCGGGGUGGGGGUCGUUACCGAGUGGGAACUUCUGCAAAUCCUGACUUUUGUCAGUUCGCGCCCCGCACAAGAUGUCCUGCCGGCGGUGCGAUUGCUCCCGUUGCUUCGAGGGGAAACUGAGGCCAGUUAGUCCGGGCACUUACCCGCAGCUAGUUAAGGACUAGACUCUGAUGGGGACUCCUGUUAUGACCUCAAUGGCCUGUAGAAUCUUGGAGGCCGCCUCCGACCUAAGCCCAAAAAGCACAUGGUCGGGCUCACAGGAGGCGGCCAGAGGUGAAAACAGCCAACGCUUUACAACGACGCUGUGCGGGGCACUUCGUGUGUGUCAUCCCGUCUCAUCCUCGGGUGAUGGGAACCGUUCAUUCGGGAAAAUUGCAAACAACUAAAUACCCCUCACCAGGAGUUGGCCCAUUAUAGCAACUCUGAGACCUCUCUACCGCAGGCUCUUAAAAUGGGUUUUCAUCCCAACAGAAUUUUUCUAAGGAACUUGAUAUACAAAUUCUAUAAUUUACAUUGGAAGAAUGAAGAUAUAAGAAUAGUUUUUCUUUCUGCACAAAAAGGAUAAAGACAGAGCACUCACCAGAUACCAAGGCAUGCUACAAAGCCAUGUGGGUCUGUCCAAGCUUAACAGUGGAUGUAACUGCUUCUUUGCUGUGGCAGAUUGUAUUUUCUGAAGGCCCCAACAGUCUCUCCUAUCCCUCCUCCUCUUUUAGAACCUUGAUACUUCCCUAUGAAGAGGUAGGGUCUAAUACUCCCCUCCUUCAACCCGAAGCCCCGCCUUGGGCUUGGGACUUGCUUGUAACCAAUCAAAUACAGUGGAAGAGUUAGUAGGUGACUUCCAGGGCUAGGUCAGAAAAGGAUGCAGCCUCAGGGUUCAACACACACUUGGGCCUGGAGCCACCAUGCAAGAAGGCUGCCAUGCUGCGAGGGAGCAAAGGCACGUGGGGGGACAUACACAGGGGCUGUGGCUGGCAGUCCUGGCCUUUGAGUCAUCCUUGUUUAAGUGCCAGGCACACACGUUAACUACCUUUAGGUAAUGCCAUCCCUCAGAUGUCACGUCACCCCCAGCCCCUGAGCCUUCCCAUCUGAAGCCCCAGGCUUUAUGGAGAAGAAACAAGAUGUUCCUGCCACGCUCUUUCUGAACUGCUGACAUACAGAAUCCAUGACCAUAAUAAAACGGUUGUUUUGUGCCAUUA
This is a long non-coding RNA of Nomascus leucogenys (northern white-cheeked gibbon), 1207 nucleotides long. RefSeq lists it as uncharacterized. NCBI's taxonomy places the organism in Eukaryota, Metazoa, Chordata, Mammalia, Primates, Hylobatidae. The transcript has 5 exons. The record is from RefSeq and is a predicted model, not a curated record.